ACAGAACGUUUCCUGAGUAUAGGAGGAAGCCGGAAACCGGAGGGCGUCUCUGAAAUAUAGAAGGUUUGCAGAUUAACCCCACAUCUGCCAGAACCGAUCGCAUAAACCUGGCAGGCUGGAGGAUCAGAUGCAGUAGGCAUUUACAUGAAUCAAUAGGCAUAACUCCAUUGACAGCACACGAAAUACAAGAGAAAGUUUAUUUUUAGACACUUUUUGGAAUAUGAUUUUCGGUUUUCUUAUUUUUCUUUUCUUCCGAUGACCAUAAUUGUUUUAGGAGACUGACCACCGGAAUUCUCAUUCGUAAAAUGUUUGUGACCUUUCCACUGCUUAUGGCUUUGAUUAGCCUUCCGUGUCCGUGCCUUGGGGUGGAGGUGACGCAGACUCCCAGGGUCUUAAUAACCCAGGCUGGGGAGAACGUGGCGCUCCAGUGCAACCAUACUGAGAGUACCUACCUAACGAUGCUCUGGUACCAGCAGAAGCCUGGGGAAGGACUGAAGCUCAUGAUCUAUUCGACGGAUGCCAAUGUUAAGAGCGAUGCAAUGGAGGCAGAAUUUCAGGCGUGGGAUUGGAGCAGACCUCACGUUCAGUAUGCCACCCUCAAACUGUCACACGCUGGCACCACGGACUCAGCCGUAUAUUUCUGUGCAAUCAGUAGACACAGUUACAAAUCAUAAAGCAGCGCCAAGCAGAAAACCUACAGCUCUGGGGUGAAACCUCUAGAAAUAUGGACAGAUUUCAUACUGACCUGC
This is a non-coding RNA of Spea bombifrons (plains spadefoot toad), 749 nucleotides long. Lineage: Eukaryota; Metazoa; Chordata; Amphibia; Anura; Pelobatidae. The record is from the annotation of a RefSeq genome assembly.